RNAcentral lists this microRNA precursor (91 nucleotides) under Equus asinus (donkey). Its description in RNAcentral is "mir-544 microRNA precursor family". It matches the Rfam family "mir-544 microRNA precursor family". RNAcentral also lists the same sequence under 1 other name. Lineage: Eukaryota; Metazoa; Chordata; Mammalia; Perissodactyla; Equidae. The record is from Rfam by way of RNAcentral.
AUCACCCAGAGUUCUUGUUAAAAGGCAGAAUCUCAGCUUUUACCCCAACACUGAGAUUCUGCAUUUCUAACAAGCUCCCAGGUAAUGCAGA